This 64-nucleotide transfer RNA is filed under the name Formicosepsis sp. LX2018-01. RNAcentral's name for it is "tRNA-Gly". It matches the Rfam family "tRNA". From Rfam's summary of the family: Transfer RNA (tRNA) molecules are approximately 80 nucleotides in length. Their secondary structure includes four short double-helical elements and three loops (D, anti-codon, and T loops). The record is from RNAcentral. Lineage: Eukaryota; Metazoa; Arthropoda; Insecta; Diptera; Cypselosomatidae.
AUUUAUAUAGUAUAAAAGUAUACAUGACUUCCAAUCAUGAGGUCUAUUAUUAAUAGUAUAAAUA